GUUGAAGUGGCAGAGUACGGCAAUUGCAUAAAAUUUAAGCUUUUAUACUCAGAGGUUCAAAUCCUCUCUUCAACAA
RNAcentral lists this transfer RNA (76 nucleotides) under Pseudorca crassidens (false killer whale). RNAcentral's name for it is "tRNA-Leu". It matches the Rfam family "tRNA". From Rfam's summary of the family: Transfer RNA (tRNA) molecules are approximately 80 nucleotides in length. Their secondary structure includes four short double-helical elements and three loops (D, anti-codon, and T loops). Further hydrogen bonds mediate the characteristic L-shaped molecular structure. tRNAs have two regions of fundamental functional importance: the anti-codon, which is responsible for specific mRNA codon recognition, and the 3' end, to which the tRNAs corresponding amino acid is attached (by aminoacyl-tRNA synthetases). tRNAs cope with the degeneracy of the genetic code in two manners: having more than one tRNA (with a specific anti-codon) for a particular amino acid; and 'wobble' base-pairing, i.e. permitting non-standard base-pairing at the 3rd anti-codon position. Lineage: Eukaryota; Metazoa; Chordata; Mammalia; Artiodactyla; Delphinidae. The record is from RNAcentral.